RNAcentral lists this unclassified non-coding RNA (386 nucleotides) under Clostridioides difficile. Its description in RNAcentral is "16S-23S ribosomal RNA intergenic spacer (ISR)". Lineage: Bacteria; Bacillati; Bacillota; Clostridia; Peptostreptococcales; Peptostreptococcaceae. The record is from RNAcentral.
ACCUACUGUUUAAUUUUGAGGGUUCGUUUUUACGAAUACUCAAAAUUAGCACUUUAAGCAACGGGAUUUAUCCGUUGGCGCCGUGCUUUAGCACUUUGAAAUCUGCAUAUAUAUUUAGUGAUAUGACAUCUAAUUUGUAAUAUAUAAAGCUGAUAACUUUUAAAAAUUAUCAAGUUGAUAGACUUUAAUCUAUCAAACCUUUUUAACUGGUCAAGUUAUUAAGGGUGCAGGGCGGAUGCCUUGGCACUACGACGUGCGUUAGCACUUUGAAAACUGCAUAUAUAUUUAGUGAUAUGACAUCUAAUUUGUAAUAUAUAAAGUUGAUAACUUUUUAAAAUUAUCGAAGUUGAUAGCUUCUAAUCUAUCAAACCUUUUUAACUGGUCAA